Molecule: ribosomal RNA, 253 nt
Filed under: uncultured bacterium
Lineage: Bacteria
Description: partial 16S ribosomal RNA
Rfam family: Bacterial small subunit ribosomal RNA
Source: RNAcentral
UACGUAGGGGGCAAGCGUUGUCCGGAUUUACUGGGCGUAAAGAGCGUGUAGGCGGCCACGCAGGUCCGUUGUGAAAACUGGAGGCUCAACUUCCAGCCGUCGACGGAAACCGUGUGGCUAGAGUCCGGAAGAGGAGAGUGGAAUUCCUGGUGCAGCGGUGAAAUGCGCAGAUAUCAGGAGGAACACCGGUGGCGAAGGCGGGUCUCUGGGCCGAUACUGACGCUGAGGAGCGAAAGCGUGGGGAGCGAACAGG